Drosophila guanche is the source of this 857-nucleotide RNA transcript. RefSeq lists it as uncharacterized. The record is from RefSeq and is a predicted model, not a curated record. The transcript has 3 exons. NCBI's taxonomy places the organism in Eukaryota, Metazoa, Arthropoda, Insecta, Diptera, Drosophilidae.
UUUGAGGGUCAGUGGUCAGUGGAUCGAUAAAACUGCGGUCACACUGCAAUAAGAACAUGCGCUACCUCAAAACUUUAAAUUUAUUGUAAAAACCACAACAAAAAGGAUAACAAGGUCUCAAAAACAAAAGUUAAACGAUAAACAGUCAUGACGGUUACCAAAGCAUAUCAAUUUGGGCUCGAGUACGCAGAAGUUUGUAACAAACAUACCUCCAUGCGAUAUCUAAUCUUGGGCUGCAACCUGAUGUACGAACAUCAUGUAACUGGCUAGGUCUGAUCCCUGAUGGGAAAGCACGUGGAUCGGUGGCCGGCGCACUCCGGCUCCGCCUGCACAACAAUCUGACUGUGUCCAAUUAGAUAGCACCCAAGUAAGCUUCAUCUCGCUCAACCAGCGCCAAGUUGUAGUUGGAACACGAAUGAUACGGAACAGAUAUUAGGCCGUGGAAAAGUUGGAAGACACGCAGUCGGAUUGACAGAAGCAUCUCAUGCACUGUGGAUCUCGGUAACAGGAGAAAGAUUUACAUUGCUGGUCCAUCAGGGCUAAACACACGAAAAACCACCUCCAGCAAUGAGUUGCAGCAUGGCACCAAUGUGCAGUUCAAAGAGUCCGAGGAGGAGAGCGAUAAUGAUAAAUAUGGCGAGUUUGGGACAGUUAUGUACCAGAUGAGGGGGAGGCUCACAUUGAGGCACAUCCUACCGGAGAGAGUUUGGCCAAUGAGAGUCUGUCAGCAUUAUGAAAAAGUAUCGUAUCCUGCAUCUCCUGGACAUCUUUGGCUAUUUACUGUCUACAGUGUCGCCUAUGCAAGUUAUAAAAGAACGCCGUGGAUUUGCAGAGCACGUCAGCCUAUGUUUUGAGAG